This 497-nucleotide ribosomal RNA is filed under the name uncultured bacterium. RNAcentral describes it as "partial 16S ribosomal RNA". It matches the Rfam family "Bacterial small subunit ribosomal RNA", at positions 28 to 507 of the family's 1533-position model. The record is from RNAcentral.
GACGAACGCUGGCGGCGUGCCUAAUACAUGCAAGUUGAGCGCUGAAGGUUGGUACUUGUACCAACUGGAUGAGCAGCGAACGGGUGAGUAACGCGUGGGGGAUCUGCCUUUGAGCGGGGGACAACAUUUGGAAACGAAUGCUAAUACCGCAUAAAAACUUUAAACACAAGUUUUAAGUUUGAAAGAUGCAAUUGCAUCACUCAAAGAUGAUCCCGCGUUGUAUUAGCUAGUUGGUGAGGUAAAGGCUCACCAAGGCGAUGAUACAUAGCCGACCUGAGAGGGUGAUCGGCCACAUUUGGACUGGGACACGGCCCAAACUCCUACGGGAGGCAGCAGUAGGGAAUCUUCGGCAAUGGACGAAAGUCUGACCGAGCAACGCCGCGUGAGUGAAGAAGGUUUUCGGAUCGUAAAACUCUGUUGGUAGAGAAGAACGUUGGUGAGAGUGGAAAGCUCAUCAAGUGACGGUAACUACCCAGAAAGGGACGGCUAACUACGUG